AGAAAAGGCAAGUGAAACAGAAGGGGAGGUGCAGUUUCAGAACCCAGCCAGCCUCUCUCUUGCUGCCCAGCCUCCCGCCGGCCUCAUCUUCGCCCAGCCAACCCCGCCUGGAGCCCUAUGGCCAACUGCGAGUUCAGCCCGGUGUCCGGGGACAAACCCUGCUGCCGGCUCUCUAGGAGAGCCCAACUCUGUCUUGGCGUCUGUAUCCUGGUCCUGAUCGUCGUCGUGGUGGUCGCGGUAGUCGUCCCGAGGUGGCGCCAGCAGUGGAGCGGUCCGGGCACCACCAAGCGCUUUCCCGAGACCGUCCUGGAGCGAUGCGUCAAGUACACUGAAAUCUAUCCUGAGAUGAGACAUGUAGACUGCCAAAGUGUAUGGGAUGCAUUCAAGGGUGCAUUUAUUUCAAAACAUCCUUGCAACAUUACUGAAGAAGACUAUCAGCCACUAAUGAAGUUGGGAACUCAGACCGUACCUUGCAACAAGGUAACUGGGGGCAUGCCGUUGAUUUUAAAACUGGGGAUAAAAGCCAAUGGUAACAAUUCAUAGGUCCAAAUUUUGAUUAGAAUGAAGGAAGAGGAAAAAUCCAGACAUUAUAGU
Molecule: small RNA, 594 nt
Filed under: Pongo abelii (Sumatran orangutan)
Lineage: Eukaryota; Metazoa; Chordata; Mammalia; Primates; Hominidae
Description: retained intron
Source: RNAcentral